Molecule: ribosomal RNA, 429 nt
Filed under: Pseudomonadota bacterium
Lineage: Bacteria; Pseudomonadati; Pseudomonadota
Description: Proteobacteria bacterium partial 16S ribosomal RNA
Rfam family: Bacterial small subunit ribosomal RNA
Source: RNAcentral
UGGGGAAUAUUGGACAAUGGGCGAAAGCCUGAUCCAGCCAUGCCGCGUGUGUGAAGAAGGUCUUCGGAUUGUAAAGCACUUUAAGUUGGGAGGAAGGGCAGUAAGCGAAUACCUUGCUGUUUUGACGUUACCGACAGAAUAAGCACCGGCUAACUCUGUGCCAGCAGCCGCGGUAAUACAGAGGGUGCAAGCGUUAAUCGGAAUUACUGGGCGUACAGCGCGCGUAGGUGGUUCGUUAAGUUGAAUGUGAAAGCCCCGGGCUCAACCUGGGAACUGCAUCCAAAACUGGCGGGCUAGAGUAGGGCAGAGGGUCGUGGAAUUUCCUGUGUAGCGGAGAAAUGCGUAGAUAUAGGAAGGAACACCAGUGGCGAAGGCGACCACCUGGGCUCAUACUGACACUGAGGUGCGAAAGCGUGGGGAGCAAACAGG